ACAAAUGUCCCCCACCCAUCAUGCUAGAGGCAGCUUUUGUGUGUUGUGAACUGAAUUGAACUGCAGAUCAAUCAAUUAAUAUAACAUGACCCAGGCCAUAACUCUUAACUCUACAUGAAUUACACCUAUCAUCUGUGAAAUACGACGGUCGACUCCAAGGUGUUUAGUGUCACAAAUAGCUGUUGGGGAUUACACUGAUGACAAGAGCCAGUAAGGCAACACUGCUCCUUCUGUUACUACUGUUUGGCACCUGAGGAGCUCCAACCAUUCUGUAGUUACAUCCCUACAACAGCAUUUCAACAAGAAGGAACGAAAACACACCCUCACUAAACUGGUUUCAUUGUGGAUGGUUUACUAUUCAGCUAUUAAACGGUUUCAAAUCCUCAAAGACGAGGCCUGGCUUGUUCAGCUUUCAGUGGGAAUUAAGGUGAACAUUUCUGAACUACGUCAUGUGAACUGCAUUCUAAUGCAUGUCUUUAUUUAGUCUGUCACUCCGGGGGUGAAUCUGUGGCCUGGGCUUAUAGCAGUUAUGCUGUGUAUUCAUUUCCUGUAUGUUUCUUUGCUCAGUGUUAAAUUGGCUUUUAUAACGAAGUCCCAUAAAUAUGUGAGGAGGAAAAAAGUUUGUAGAUCCUUGGGAUUUAUCGGGAUUUCAGAGUGAAUGGCUCUUAACCUGUGAUCCAGACUUCUUUCAGAACAUCUGUCAUCUUUAUCAAAACAAUGAUUUAAACGGUCAACAUUUGCUACUGAGCAGAACCUGAUUUAUUGACAAAAGCCUUCCAGCUCUUGUUUCUGAUUAGCGUUUCAGCCCUUUUAAUCCCUACAUCUCUACAAAAUUGUUUUUCUACAUUUAUAUUGUUUGAAUGGUCUGCCUCAGAUCCGUUUAUAGCAUUUCAGCAGCAUUGAGGUCAGUGGCCAAAUAAUCUUCUGUUUGAGUAAAUAGCUGCUCAUGUUUACGCUUGUGUUUUGGAUUAUUGUCACAUUGCAUAACUUUUAGAUUGUAGGCAGAUGCCCUGAUGUGAUGCGGUGGAGUUUCCUGAUAUGACUUUAUUAGUGUUUAUUGGUGACUCAUUUAGGCAAGCCUUCCAGAUCCUUAGAAAUCAAGAGAAGUCGCACAAUGUUUUACUCCCAUCACCAGGUUUUGGUGUUGCUAUGCAGUGUUUUGUUUAGUUCAGAUAUGUAUAUAGUGGCAGCCGUGAGAAAAUCAUUUACAUGGUGAAACUUGGACCGUAUCCUGAACUGAAAUGUUUGUCUACGCAUAACGUCAUGCAGAUAAAUAAUUCAAAUAAUAUUCACAUCAAGGACCAGAUUAAUGAAAGUUGGACAGUUAAAGAGUUGAAGUCAUCUGCUCUUUUUCCAAUCUUCAGCUGUCCAGUUUUCCAGGAGUGAAACCCAAUACAGUACUGGAGCCCAUUCACUUCAAGUUUCAAUACGUUCUGAGAUGCAUUUCGACUGUAAAGAGGUGAUUCCAGACUGUGAUCCCAGUUCUUGGUGACUUCUUGCUCGUAACCUGUCCCUCCAUGAUGUGAUGUUCUGUGCGGCUGCCCCUAUGAUAGGCUGAUUAACUGGGCUGGAUAUACAGGAUACAGAUAUCAACAUUCAUAGCUCCACUUUUGUGUCAUCUCUCUAAAAAACAUUGUUCUCACGUUACUUUCUAGGAAGCUGCCUCAUGGGACGAUAUUUUCUUUUAGAAAGCAGUGGUUUCCUGUGUGGUAAACUCCCAUAAACACGGCUCUUAUUAGUUUUCUUUUGGUUCACUCAUGAAUAAAAAGAUGAUCAGAUUAUCAGUUACAACACAGACCCUUAACCGUAGCCCCAUGGUUGCCUGCCAGUUGUUUAGGAACUUUUUGUCGAUGUAUACAGAUCUACGGACAUUUGGAAGGUGGAAACAGUGCUGGAUUUCUUCCAUGUGUGAACUGUUUGCUUGACUGUGGACCAGUGGAGGCCUGACUGUGUAGGGAUUUUCGUAACCCUUUAAGGGUCUGACUUUUCCAUAGCUUUAGAGCAUUGUGAAGGUUUUAGAUCACAUAUUCAUGGCAAGACACAGCACUGAGAAAGGGGGUAAAUGUGUUUUCUAUAAUCCCCAAAUAUGUACAAAACAAACAAACAAAAAAAAGUGGAUUUUUAUAUAACACAGUCAGGUCAAGAUCACAACUAAACCGUUUAGACUAUCUGUCUCUAGUUACACUUUUCUCAACUGGGAAUUAAUAAAGGAUCAAAUACCACUAACAAUAACACAGAUUUUUGUAAAUACAUGAGCUUUUUUAUAAUCUGUUGUGCUUUUGUCAAACAAGAUUCUUUACAUUGAAAAAUGUUAAUAAGUUUCACUGACACAGAAAUUCAGGUAGACCUAGAAGGUUCACAGGUUUUUGUACAUGCUGCAGGUUUACAUAUGAUUGGAUCAAAAAAAUCCAGCUAUUCCUGUACCAAGAGUACCAAUGUCAGUUUCUUCUUCCCUGAAUCUGUUUUUUUUUUUUCAGUUUGUACUUGUGCUGUUUGGUGUGAAUAGAUCCCUGCCCUGUUCCCACAAAUAUAGAUUUCUAAAGCAUUGGUUUUCCAAAAAUCACCAGCUGUGAUAUCCACAUAUAUAUAUUACAUAUUUAUUACGUCAGUGGUCCAUGUGUUUUCUUCUUCAUCAUUUUCUUCUUCUUCUUUUCUUCUUCAUCUGACUCAUCUGCCCUGGUUUGACAGUCACUGUGUAAACGAAGAGCCGUGAAGCCGCUGUUGCUUUUGGUCAGCGGUUUAUUUUGAGCUUCUCAUUCCAUAGUAAGUGUGAACUGUUCACUGAUCCUUCAUUAAGAUAAAUGAGCGCAGAUAUAUUUAUGCAUUGCAGUCAUAAUCAGCAACACAUUGCAGUUUUUCUUAAUGAAAGUGUUUUAAAUGUCUUACUAUUACAUUCCUGGUUAUGUGGUGACAUUGUGCAUGACAGGCUGCUGGUGCUUUAAGCUGCAAAACACAAUAUGAAAAUUAUGGUUGAGUCACCAGGGAACUUUGGGCAAUGGAAAUUGUUUAAUUGUUCUCUUUUCACGCCACGGUUAUAGACAAGAGUGACCAAAGAUCAGAGUGCCACGCGACACCGAUGCCGGUCAUAUGGUUGAAAUUUCUCAUACUCUGUUGGCUUCUUUCCCCAGCAUGAGGUAAACAAUUCAUUGUGUCUUGGUGUUGGCAAGCAUUUCACCUGGAUUUACUGAGUCAGGAUUUCAGAGGUAACAUACUGUAUAACAGCAUGUGGUUUGACCUUCAUGGAGCUCAUUCAUACUACCAGGGACCUCUGGACUGUGUCUUUGUAUCCAGAGUAAUCAGGUAGUUACUGUAGGUCACAGAUUAGCUGUAUAUACGUCCUAAAAACACGCUCAUAUGCAGUUUAAGCUCUGAGUUUCUGGCAUGUUCCAGUUUAAGAAAAUACCAAUCAAUAUUACGCUAACAUUAGCAUGUAUCCUCCCAAGCAAAAAAAAAACAAUUGAAUAUCGUUGUUUAUAUAUAUUUCAGGAAAAGCCAGGUUUUUAUAACUUACUGGAAAUUAUUUGUGUUUCUAAUUUCAAUCCACUGCUAAAUGUUCAAGCAAAAUUUGACACUUGCCCAUGUCUUGUAAACAGCAUGUCCUAACAUUCUUUAAAUCAUAAUGACCAUUUCACUGAAAAGCUGAAAGCCUGAAGCUGAACCCAGAAAUAGAAAACGUUCUUGCGCCUCUUCCAUAUGGAUUUUUUUUUUUAGUAAUUUACAGUGAACACUGUCAAACACUGUAAAGAAAUUUUUGAAAAAAAUACAGUAAAAUUUAGCGGUGUUCUGUUUUGUUAACAUUAACAUUAUAACAUUACUUCUGGAUAUUAUGUGAAGCAGAAGAGUCUCUUAUUGCUUUGCCUCUCUUGGAUAAAGCAGUCUCAGCCAGUCUGAACUUAUUAUCUGGACUCAACUGUAGUGGCUACGAUGUUGCAGGAUUGCAGUUCCACUGUUAUUAAAGUCACUGAAGGCCAAAUGUAGAGGUUGGUUUAUUGCAGAGUUCAGAGACGAGAGAGUGAGUGAAGUUUCCACUCGAUCAUGUACCCGGGGUGUGGCGGCUCGAUGUGGUAAACGCAGAUAAGACGUGACUAAUGUUUGGAUACACAAAUGCACCUGGACUUUCAUCAAUGGAGAAGGAGGAGUUUAUGUAAUAGUGGCCUGAGGUGAAUCUAUAAGCCAGUGAAAGGAUAAGAAAAGCAUUAGAUGUAUGAAAUGUGUGGUGAGAUGUUGCUGUGGCUGAAUUCUGGGAAACAGCCAAACAAAAAAGCAUUGCCAUUAUCUGUAUAUCUAUUUUUCUGGUGCUCCAGGUAUGUUCAUUUGUAUUUGGUGGGCGUGGCCUAAAUCAGCUACAAUCAAUCUUCAUUUGUGGUUAGAUUCUGACUGUUUAAAUGAGAUGUAAGAACAUGAGACACUGGCAGCACGUCAGGAGAGCUUGAUUCACUAUGUACAGGUCUUUCCCAGGUGAUUCCUACACAUAUAUUAUUGUGAGUUCGAAUCCCAAAGAUCCCACAGCCAGGAGUUUCAAGAGAGCAAAACUGGCCAUGCUUGCUGGGUGGGAGGGAUGACACACCCAUUUUCCCUAUCAAUCACAAUCACACUAGCCCACCAUGGGGCAUCUGUGAGCUCAUACAUGUGGAAGUGGGCAAAUAGCGCUUUCCUCCAAUUGUGUUAUGCUGCCACCCAGAGCAGCAGGUCAAAAAGAUGUGGUGAACAGGCUUCGCAUGCCUCGGAGGAAGCAUGCAUGAGCCUUCAUCUGUACUGAGUAGUAAUAGAUGUGUGAUUAACAUAAUGGAAGGAAUAGACCAUGACUUAAUUUGGAAAAUAACUGGGGAAAAAUAAUCAACAAAAAACAUGUGUAUUUGUUUUAUUAUUGUUAUUAGUAAUUUUCCAUUUAUAUAGUACCUUUCUAACACUCCACCCACAAGACUGAAUGCUGUGAGUCUGACUCACGCUUUUUGAAUAGUUCUGAUUGUGUUAAAAAUCUCACUGUGGUUAUGUCAUGCCUUUGAGUUGAUACUGUUAGCCAUGAGGGGACUUUUGUCUACCCACCACCUGCUAGUCACACCCUGGCCCCCAGGGUUUCAAUUUGGAUGUGUCACUUGUAACCUGCAUGCUUUUAUGUAAAGCUAUAGCACUGAUAACUGUCACCUGCAUGCAGUAAUCCAUACAAAAAUAUUCAUUCUUUCUAACCAUGAACUCUUAAUGAAUCUUAAAUCAGUUAAGUUCCACUGAGGUCUGUGACGUGUAACCAGAGGGUCAAUUUGAAUUAUUUAUUCAUUUGAAUUGUUUUAUUGCGGUAUUAUGUAAUAUCAAAGUUGUUGUCGUUGUUACUGUGAAUUUAUUACAAGCCUAACCAAAGUGAAGCUUGAAUACAACUGCAGAAGUAGGGUAAGGACUAUGAUUCUAAAACAAAAAGGACUCUGAGGUGCUUUUCUGCUCACCAUAGCUGUAAAGAGUCAUUAUUACUGUAUUCCUCCAGUCAGCAUUAGUCAAGGGUUAUAUUUUGCUGAGUCUAGACAUUAUUCUUCGCCUGACUUAUGACAAUUCAGUUUUAUUUCUAUUGCGUGUAUCAGUUCUUCAGACCCUUUCUUCUUUUGAGUCGAUGAUGUUUGUUAUUUGUGAUAAACCUGUGACAUGCAUUUAUUUUCUUCAUCCACAUAGUGUAAUUAUGACUCUUAGCUCUUUACAUUUCUAAAAGCCUGACACAGUACAGAGUCGACUUUCACCAUGAGGACUCAACAUAACAAGGUCAUGCUAAUUGGCAGAGGAAGUGCCGUGGAUUUCUCAGGCCCGGAGAACGAUCUGAGCGUAAGUCAGGAUACUGUUUCUUGCUUCCAUUCGUCCAAGUCCCGAUUUAAUCCAACCACAAUCAUGUGUUCGAGGAGGAGGAGGAGGAGGAGGAGGGUGUCCAUCCGGCCAUGCUGCACAGGGAAUUGGCAGUGCCAUGCUGCCUGUGUAAUGCAAUGGAUCAAAAAAGGCAGGCUGCUAAUCCCCUCGCUGGAUUGGUGUCACUCUAUACCCUGAGGAUAUAAUGUGGCAGCUGGCCUGCUGAACUUGUCAUGAUCACGUAUGGCCACAAGCUUAGGAAACAUAGAAGAGUUUGCCUUGCUUAAGCAGAAUUUGAAAACUGUCACAGGUAAUGAGCAUCAUUGCUAGGGGUUCUGACUAGGACUAAUACAUUGACUAGUCAGGGGGGAAAAACAGUGAGACAGACAGAAAACAACUUUGUUAAUCUGAAAAUAUUAAACUAGAUGAAGCUAAUUCUACAGUCAACCUCUCAAGACUAUGUUUGACUUUAAUGGACCUUUAUAAUCUUGCAUGAACUGGAAAAUUUCUGUGGGCAAGAAUUAAUUGCACAUCAAUCUGCUCAACGCUGCUAAAAAAUUCCUCUCAACUUUCAUUUGUUCUUUAAAGCAUUUUUUUUGAACAUUAGUACAUAUUGACAUUGUGUAUUUCAUCCAUUAUUAAAAUAUAAGCAUUGCAUGAUGAUUUUCAGACUCGGUGAUCAGCUCGUCUACAUGACUCCAUUUUAAGAAUUGUUACAUCCUUAAAUAGUGUGAUCUGAUUCACAGAUUUAUUAACGUGCAUGUUUUUGGACUGAUUUAUUUAUUUUUAGCUUGUUACCAGGGUUGAUACUGGAAAUGUGAAACCUGUGUAUGGCUGUUAUUGAACUUCAUUUCUGCACAAAUUAAACAGCCUACAAAUAGGGAUGUCCUGAGACAGUUUAGAAAACAGACAUGUUUAUGGCAUUACUGGCUGACAAGUAAAAAUGAACAGUCAUGCAACCUGUAUUUCUGAUUUGUUUUGGUAUCUGUUUGCUAGCUGAAACGCACAAUGCAAACCUGUCUCUUCCCUCAGGCCUUCUUUACUGUCGUGCCUCUGUAGUAUCUGUCUUAACGUCUCUGAUCCUCCUCCAUAUGGCACUAAAUGUAAUACUUACGUGAUAAUAGAUUAGGGUAUCGGUGACGGCGAGUGCAGGUAAAGUAACUGAAUCCACUUUAGAAGUGACUCCCUGAACAUCAAUCACUCACACAACAAAAAAAAGGCAAGUUCAAAAGCAGCAUUCAACAAAACAGCCAUCAAAGGUGUAGAGUACGGUUUAACAGAGAGGCCUUAAAUGGGGUCCUUGAAGACUAAUUUUUUUCUUGCCACAGCUGGAUCUCUUUUCCUCAUGUAUAUUCUGGCAUCUGCCUCAUGUUUAGAUGUUACGGGUUCAAAUCCAAUAUUAAGAAUGAGUGAAAGUGAAAAUACUUGUGUAAUACCAUGGUAUUAGCAGCAGAGCUCAUUAUCUACGCCCGUUUUUGUGCCAAUGUUUCUAUUGUACUGCUGUGUGAAUAAUUUGUUUUCCUCUUGAUGUUGCAGGAAUCUCCUGUUCAACAACUACCGACAGUGAUGUCCUUGACUCUUCCAGUCAUCAUGGCACAUACAACAUGCACGCCGUAUCAUCCAGAUUGCUGAUGAGCUAUAAAUAAAUGAGGGGACCUCGGCUAAUCUGUGGCCUUGAAGCUCACUGUGUACAUGAUAAUGUUAAUUGCAUUGCAAGGUCAGGGGAAGUAAUGACAUUUUAACGGGCUUAGUUCCAGCACGAUCAACAGGAGUGUAGCAAUGCCGUGUCUGUGUGAAGAAUGAAGAAUGUUUCAGAGGGCAUGACCUAAAUUAAAGUCAAAUGUCACACCUGGAUUAUUUUAGGCGAGGUAUCUUGCGCGUGCUGCGUUUGGAACAAACUCAAAAUUCCUCCAGCACAUACAAAUGAAAUGCAAACAAAAAAUGAAGAAAAUGAAAGGACAGUUUAUUUUGUAUGUAUGACUCACAGAUAUGUCUCUAUAUCCAUAGAAUUCCUUAGCAUUGCCACAACACAGUGCACUUCACAUAAGCCAGAUCCUGGAAACAAAGUUCUUUCAUAUACAACAAAACAAGCUAUUGUAAAUACUUGAAAACACAAAACAAAACCAAGUCCAAGCAACAUACUGUAGUAAUGUUUAAAAGAAUAUGAAAAUCGAAUUUCCGCAAAACCGAUGUUCCAAUGACAGACGUUUUAUAUCGUUUUUCAGGAGAAAAGCACCUAAUGUGUCUUUGUAGCUCCAUUGGUAUAGUAUUUGAGGAAUCUCCUGACGUUUUCUUGCUCCUGUUCCUCUCUUGCUUAACUUUCUGCGGUGGAGAUCCCUUUCAUGGUGUCCUGCUUCUGAUGGACAGAAGCCUUGAACCGUCCCUGGGUAUGAUGGUGUGCAGUAAUGUGUGUGACUUGAGUCAGAUCACACGGCUAAUAACGUCUACAACCUUUCUACAACCGCCUCAAGAGUCUUUGUGGUGUUCAUCCACCAGAUGGUUGAAACUGCGCUUAUACACCAGGUGAUUAACUUCCUUUACAGAAGAGAACCCACUGAUCAUGCGGUGGGAUCAUCCAAAAACUUCGCCGACAGGUCCAUAGACAUGGAAUCGUUUAUUGAUAAAAGAGAUGAAGCAAGAUCCUUGACGUUCUCCUGUGCAGAGGGUCAGAAAGUCUGCUAUAUGCUUUCCUAGCAAAACCUUCCUUCUCCUGUUUGACAGAUGGAAUCUGGCAACUCAACUAGUAGAACUCGACCUGCAGCAGCACUGGGUGUUAAAAUCUGAGCUGAAAUCCACAAACUGAACUCCUGCAUAGCUUCAAUGCCUGUCAAGCUGCUGUAGCAUGAAGGUCAUAUUGAUUGCAUCAUCAACAGAUCUGUUCAUUCUCUCCUCAAACCACAGGAGCUCUUGCAAGAGAUGUGUAAUAACCUUCAGAUUAGCCUAGACCAGAAAGUUGAUGACUUUGAUGAUUAUGGAGGUCAGUGUAACUGGGUUUUUCAGCAUCUUAUCAAACUACUAAAUCACAAGGGAGCGGAACUUUUCCACAUGCUUGAGUUGCCCUCUUUUGCAUGAUACCACCCUCUUGCAAGAGCUCCUGUGGUUUGAGGAGAGAAUGAACAGAUCUGUUGAUGAUGCAAUAUGAUGAUGCCACCUUCCAUGAUGCCUGUGGUCACGAUUUCUCUGAUUGAUAGGAAAAUGCCUAUUGAAGAGCCCAGGGCCAGUUUUGCUUUCUUGGUCUCCUUGCUAUGAAUGGCUGUGGCAAAACCAGGAUUCAAAUUUGAUAUCAAGAGUCAUACCUUUCAAGUGAGCAACUGAGAGCCCAGACGAUGUGUUAGAACUUCUCAGAAAUGAAGCACUCUAAAGUCCUCAACUGAGAACUUAGCAAAAAAAAAGUGGCAUGAACAGACCAGACACAAAUUAUUUUUAGAUUUUUAAUACUGGACAUUAUUCCCAUGAAGGCUGUUUUGUUUCAUUUCAGUAACACACAAUGCUUGAUUUGAGAAAUUCCUAUCCUACAGAAAUCCAGCGUUCGGUACACAGGGUCUUUGAAAAUUGAUCAUACGCAAUAUAUGAUAGUCACUGCAUACGUUCAUGCUAAUGCGAAUUUUGUGCAGGGUUUUAGAUUCAAGUAUACUGUUGAGGAACACAGUCACCUGAUUGAGUGUCUCUCGCCCUCCUGCUUACUCAGGGACUCUGUGGACAGCUGUGUCUUAAACUACAGUUGCUAUGGGUGUUAGAUUGCAAUGUUGAGGUACCAGUGUAGGUAAUAUGAUUAUUUUUUUCCAUAUGUCAAGCCAGUGUUCAAAGCCAGAGUUAGAGUUCAGAGUUAGAGAACUUUGCCUGAUUAUGAUGAAAUGUAUUUUGCGAGUGUUUCCCAAAAGCCUUUGUUACCAGAGGCUUAACAAACACUGACUUCACUGGUAUAAAUGAAUGCCUAGAUAGCAGUAUCUGUAAAGGGUUGUAAAUACACUUAAACAUACAUUAGUGGUUUCUGAUUAUACCUAAUUGUUUAUUACUUAAUUAAUGAGCAUUCCUGUGACAUUAACACAUCAUUACAAAGCUUCCAGAUGUGCUAUGUAUCUUUAUAGUCUCACAAAAAUAAAUUGUGCUGAAUUCAGUCAGUUCCUGCUGAGAAAAGAUGAGUCACAUGGGAAAGCUCAGAGCCUUGUCACAGUCCUGGAAAACAAAAGUGAUUAGCAGUUCAAGUAAAUAUGUAAAAAUAUGUACAUUUAGGAUUUUUUUAGUAGCUGAAGUAAUUGAAGUAUCUAGUUCUUGAUUUCUUUUUACCUGCAGUGGCUGCUACUAUUAGAGUAAUUUAAACCACACUGUGGCAAAAUGGCAGAACGCCACGCUGCAACUUUUCAUCCCGAUUCGACAGGCAGUGUGAAAUUCAGCCUCACCUGCCUGCCACUGUUGGGUAUAAUGAAUGUAGCAGUGCCUGUGAUAUCCACCUGUUCAACACUGAUGCUUCGUUGCCCCACGCCAUUCUUUUGAAACGCGUUCUCAUGUUGCAAACGCUUGUCGUCUCACGUACGUGCCAGUAACAAAUUCGUACGGAGGUGCAGGGAUGCGCUUUUACAACACAGCUGCCCCGAACGUCUUCAGACAGCUGAGAAAACUGAAGAUGAAGGGGACCACUGACCCCAUUCAUGCACAGAUCUUAACCUCUAGAUUCGAUCUUAAACUGAGGUGCAGCAGCUGUUGUUAGAGAGUAACAACAGAAACACUGACGCAUUCAUUAAGAUUCUUCUUCUUGAUUUUUGAAGAUAGAAUAAAAAAAAUUUUCAUAGCAAAUGUGAUGUUCUUUGUUUUACUCUACUUGGGCAAUAGACGGGUCAAUUAUCUGUCCCUUUCUUCAUGUUUUUUUCUUUUUUUUCACCCUGAGACUCUGUCACCUGAGGCGAACACAAAAAAAAACAGACAACUCCAGAACCUUCUCUCAGAACAGCCGAGGAUUUGAACUGUUUUCUGCACAUUAUUUUAACAAGCGAUAGAGCUUCCUUUGACUGGAAAAUAAAGACGAAGCAUAGGAGGGGAAUGAAAAAAAGAAGAAAAAGGUUUUCAAAAGAGAAAUGGGAUCCCUGUGUACCACAAAGAGAGUUGGCUUAAAGGGAUCAUUAAGGCUAAAGAAAAGCCAGAGCUUCUUAAAAGCAGAUGGGACUUUCGGGCUGACGCUGGAGGGCAACACUCAGAAAAAGGCGAGAGACCGCAUGAAGGGCCCCGUUGGUGACACAUGUCCUAGCUAGGUUGCCUUUACUCGCUUGGCCUUUGGUGUGUCAUCCGAUUUCAGAGCCUUGGAGGCAGCGUAGACCAGGUUGAACUAUCCAGUAUUUUGGCAAGGGGCUGACAGAUAAUAGCAAAAAAUGAUCACAAUAAUAAAGUGAACCAUAAGGGAAUCAGUGGCAGGUUUAUAUUGAUGGGUAUUUUGGGAAUAAUAAAGAUUAAGCUUAUCAAAUGGCAGCACGCUUGU
This is a long non-coding RNA of Hemibagrus wyckioides, 11293 nucleotides long. RefSeq lists it as uncharacterized. The transcript has 3 exons. The record is from RefSeq and is a predicted model, not a curated record. NCBI's taxonomy places the organism in Eukaryota, Metazoa, Chordata, Actinopteri, Siluriformes, Bagridae.